GUAAUUGACACUGAGGAACGAAAGCCGGGGUAGCAAAUGGGAUUAGAUACCCCAGUAGUCCCGGCCGUAAACGAUGGAUACUAGGUGUUGCGGGUAUCGACCCCUGCAGUGCCGUAGCUAACGCGAUAAGUAUCCCGCCUGGGGAGUACGCACGCAAGUGUGAAACUCAAAGGAAUUGACGGGGACCCGCACAAGCGGUGGAACAUGUGGUUUAAUUCGAAGCAACGCGAAAAACCUUACCAGGGCUUGACAUCUGAGGAACCUUUGUGAAAGCAGAGGGUGCUCUUCGGAGAACCUCAAGACAGGUGGUGCACGGUUGUCGUCAGCUCGUGUCGUGAGAUGUUGGGUUAAGUCCCGCAACGAGCGCAACCCUCGUCGUUAGUUGCAUGUAGCAGUAUACUUCUGCAUUGCUCUCUAGCGAGACUGCCGGUGAUAAACCGGAGGAAGGUGGGGACGACGUCAAAUCAUCAUGCCCCUUAUGUCCUGGGCUACACACGUGUUACAAUGGCUAAGACAGCGAGCAGCCAACCCGCGAGGGUGAGCAAAUCUCUUAAACUUAGUCUCAGUUCGGAUUGCACUCUGCAACUCGAGUGCAUGAAGUCGGAAUCGCUAGUAACCGUAGAUCAGCACGCUGCGGUGAAUACGUUCCCGGGUCUUGUACACACCGCCCGUCACACCAUGGAAGUCGACCACGCCCGAAGUGCGCAAGCUAACCAUUUGGAGGCAGCGUCCUAAGGCAGGGUUGGUGACUGGGGUGAAGUCGUAACAAGGUAGCCGUACCGGAAGGUGUGGCUGGAUCACCUCCUUUCUA
This 811-nucleotide ribosomal RNA is filed under the name Candidatus Melainabacteria bacterium. RNAcentral's name for it is "bacterial SSU rRNA". It matches the Rfam family "Bacterial small subunit ribosomal RNA", at positions 736 to 1533 of the family's 1533-position model. Lineage: Bacteria; Bacillati; Candidatus Melainabacteria. The record is from RNAcentral.